GAUGAACGCUGGCGGCGUGCCUAAUACAUGCAAGUCGAACGCAUUGUGGUUGAAAUGAUAUGAAGAACUUGUUCAGAUUUGAUUUUCAACAUUGCAAUGAGUGGCGAACGGGUGAGUAACACGUGGGAAACCUACCUCUUAGCAGGGGAUAACAUUUGGAAACAAAUGCUAAUACCGUAUAAUAAUUAAAACCGCAUGGUUUUAGUUUAAAAGAUGGUCUUGCUAUCACUAAGAGAUGGUCCCGCGGUGUAUUAGUUAGUUGGUGAGGUAAUGGCUCACCAAGACAAUGAUACAUAGCCGAGUUGAGAGACUGACCGGCCACAAUGGGACUGAGACACGGCCCAUACUCCUACGGGAGGCAGCAGUAGGGAAUCUUCCACAACUGGACGAAAGUACUGAUGGAGCAACGCCGCGUGUGUGAUGAA
RNAcentral lists this ribosomal RNA (425 nucleotides) under uncultured bacterium. Its description in RNAcentral is "bacterial SSU rRNA". It matches the Rfam family "Bacterial small subunit ribosomal RNA", at positions 28 to 412 of the family's 1533-position model. The record is from RNAcentral.